UAACAAUAUUUAUAAUCAUACACCAAAUAUAAUAGAUAACUAUAUAAAAAAUGUAUUAGUUUUCACAUAAUCUUGUUUUAUUUAUUCUUCGAAACUUUAGCUCCCGUUUGAGCGUGGAAUAUUUGGAUAACUAUAACAAAUAUAUAUAUAUAUAUACUUAGAAUAACCACACACAAACAACCAUAUAUAUUUAUACAUAUUUUGAUACAAUUAUAUACUUACCUAUCAAGCAUAAACUUCAAUUUCGAGUGAUUUGUAUAAUCAUGACGUACUAAAUCAAAUAAUAAACUUUUUCUAAUGUGGUAAUAAUUACAAUCAAUACUCAAUGCGUCCUAAGAAAAAUUUCAAUAAGCAAAUCAAUUACAAAAAGAGAAAAUAAUAUAACCUAAAUUAAUUUCGAAAGAAAAUCUAACACAUAAUUAUAUGAUAAAACAAACAACUUAUCCAUAUGAUCUUUUUUGUCCAUCAAUACAUCAACUAUAUAAUCUUUGACUCGAGAUGGAUCAUUUUCAAACUUGGAUAUCUGACGGGGAGAUAUGAAGAAGAAUUUGUUGAUCAAUUGAUGCGGGCGCACCAAUUUUUCAUACAAGAACCUUGUACGAAAAUAUAGCAUCAUUGAUUCACUGAUAAAAAAACUAAUUCAUUCAUCUAAAGUUAUUUGGAAUACCAUAUAUAUAUGGAGAUAACAGAUACACCUAUUUCUUGACGUGAGUGAGUCGUUCGCCUUAACAGCAUUACCAUUAUCUUUGGAUUUUAUAGGAGUCUAAAAAUGGUUUAAAAAAAUAGAAAUUUCAAGACAAAAUAAAAAGCAAUAUAUUGAUAGUGAUUGAAAUAGUAAGAAGAAUAUAGACAGUAUAUAUAUAUAUAGAUAUAUGAAAAAUAUGGCUUUUAACAUACCUCAGCGUCUAGAGAAAUAAAGUUUAUUGGCCAUGCCACAUGUCAUCAUAUGGCCUCUCCACCAACCUUGCAUCUCCAACUUCAAGAAGUAUAGGCGGCAAUGGAGCAUCCAAAU
RNAcentral lists this long non-coding RNA (1012 nucleotides) under Cicer arietinum (chickpea). RNAcentral's name for it is "long non-coding RNA (CARI_LNC001385)". The record is from RNAcentral. Lineage: Eukaryota; Viridiplantae; Streptophyta; Magnoliopsida; Fabales; Fabaceae.